Molecule: ribosomal RNA, 459 nt
Filed under: uncultured bacterium
Lineage: Bacteria
Description: partial 16S ribosomal RNA
Rfam family: Bacterial small subunit ribosomal RNA
Source: RNAcentral
CCUACGUGAGUCAGCAGUGAGGAAUAUUGGUCAAUGGGCGCGAGCCUGAACCAUCCAAGUAGCGUGAAGGAUGACUGCCCUACGGGUUGUAAACUUCUUUUAUAAAGGAAUAAAGUGAGGCCCUUUUGCCUUUUUGUAUGUACUUUAUGAAUAAGGAUCGGCUAACUCCGUGCCAGCAGCCGCGGUAAUACGGAGGAUCCGAGCGUUAUCCGGCUUUAUUGGGUUUAAAGGGUGCGCAGGCGGAAGAUAAAGUCAGCGGUAAAAUUGAGAGGCUCAACCCCUUCGAGCAGUUGAAACUGGUUGUCUUGAGUGGGCGAGAAGUAUGCGGAAUGCGCGGUGUAGCGGUGAAAUGCAUAGAUAUCACGCAGAACUCCGAUUGCGAAGGCAGCAUACCGGCGCUCAACUGACGCUCAUGCACGAAAGUGUGGGUAUCGAACAGGAUUAGAUACCCCUGUAGUC